Molecule: long non-coding RNA, 1211 nt
Filed under: Vitis vinifera (wine grape)
Lineage: Eukaryota; Viridiplantae; Streptophyta; Magnoliopsida; Vitales; Vitaceae
Description: long non-coding RNA (VVIN_LNC000934)
Source: RNAcentral
UUGAAACUCACAUAAGUAGUUCCAGAGGAAUCAUACCGCUAUUAUCGUGUUAUCUGAUCAUUAGUACAAUUUACAACUAUUUCAUCUAUGCAGAAAAAGGAAGGCUUUUGCUUUUGAUCCUGUAGAGAAUGGUGUCUUUAAGUUUAUGGAUUCUUAUAUUUCUUUGCUAUCUUAUGGGUUUUCUUUGCCUGAGUCUAUGCAUGCUUCUAUGUGGUACUAUGGUUAGAAAUAGUCACAUUGUUAUUUCCAUAAGUGGUGACUAACGUCUUAGCCAGAUUAGCCGGUUCUUCUGGGAUGUGGUAUAUUUCAUGCCCUAUAUUUUAUUAUGCAACGGAUGAAUAUAAUAGAAUUGCUAACCUUCAACUGUUUGAGCCUCUAAAAUUGUAUGUUUUUGUCACCUACAUCAACUACUUAUUUGCCAGAAAAAAACUAGAUACACAAUAGAUUUGCUAUUUUCUCCACCGAAUUACUACUGCGUUUAUUGAGAUACAUGUCCCUGAAAGUUCUUAUUGAGCCUAUGCUUCUCGAGGCAUGCUAAUCUCCACUCUUGUACUGUUCUCUUGGGCACAUUAGGUGAUGGAAGCAGCCCAAGCUUCAACAGGAUUGUCAGGCACUUUCCUUGGAGGCUAUUCCAUACAGAGCAUCAAUCACAUCGCACAUCUGUCUGGCGCUCUUAUUGGUGUGCUUCUUGUAUGGCUUCUCAGUAGAGUUCCUUCUCAACCUUCCAAUCAAGAAGUAUCAACCUUGCAUACAAAAACAGACACAACUCAAUAACCAAGUUUAGCUUUGUUUGUUGAAGAGGGGGCCUUAUUUUGAGGGAUUUAGUUGCAUACUAGUCUUGCUGUCGUUCUUUUUUUUAAAGGAAUUCCUUAACUGCUCCAGUCAGAAUUCUGAAACUAGAGUGGCUUUGGGAAAAUGCCAAACUGGGGUUGCAGAGAAUCCUUUUUCUUGAGAUGAUGGAGAAAAGAUGCCAUGAUAGGCCCUAGAGGGUGGCUCCCAAGCUCUCUAUUGAGGACUUUUUAUGUAAAUGAAAGCGUGACACUGCUUGCUGUAAAGACUAAAUGUCCAUAAAUUUGGAUUUUCUUUAUUCGUACAUGUUCUGGAUCAGUUUCCAAAAGAAUACGCUCCAAACCAUAUGUUGAAGAUAAAUCUAAGUGUGAACCCAUUUUUCUUUUCUUGCUUUGUUGCCUGUUUUGAAGGAUAAAUGAGUU